UNCACGUGUGGGUAGCCUUAAGAAGCUGG
This 29-nucleotide non-coding RNA is filed under the name Mus musculus (house mouse). Lineage: Eukaryota; Metazoa; Chordata; Mammalia; Rodentia; Muridae. The record is from RNAcentral.